GUCAUUCCGUCCAAAAAAUUGGAUGAACGUUAAAUUAAAUUGUAUAUUUACAUACGUGGCAGCAAAAAAAACAAACUAUUUAGUGACUGGGAAAUGUUUUGGCAACCACUUAAUAUUUUCUUAUUAUUUCUCUCUCUUUCCAACUCUUCCUCUUUAUUUACUUAAAGAAAUUAAUAUAAAUUUAUGCAUUUAUACAAAGGGGCUUAAAUCACUCCUCCCCUGUCUUCGCCAUGGAGGCCGACGAUAGAGAAUGGGCUUCGGCUCGGUGGCUUUUUCGCCGCCAGCUUUGGUGUCUCUCCCUCCAUUUCCUCCUGUAAUUUCUCCUUCUCCCCGCCGGCUCUCAAACAAUUUUAUUGCGCCGAAUCGGCCAAUUCGAGCACAAAAACAGCUUGCUUAGAAGCCAUGGCUUGGGAUCUGUUUAGCCCCAUUCAACGAGUUCUGAUUGUAGUCGUUAUUACUGUUUCCGCCACAAAUUCGAAGAAAAAUAAGUAGAUUUUGGAGCUUCAAAAAUCUAUGGAAUUAAGGGUUGCCGUUUAUGGGUUUUGUUUAAUUUAUAUUUGUGAAGAGUGAUUUUUGCCAUGUUAUAAAUAAUGAGUACUUUUUUUAAUUUUAAUUUUAAUUUGAAAUAUUAAUUUGAAGUAUUUAUAUACAAUGGGUUGUGCUGAAUUUAUUUGUUGAUAGUAAUUGUUGCUAUUGCAGUUAAUGGGUAUGAUUUAGAUUUCAAUUUUGUCAUUAAUUGAUGCGAGCAUGAGUUUUGGGUUUUAUGGUUCAGCCUUUCCAGUUUGUUUGAUUUAUCUCUGGUUAGUAAUUAGGGCUUGUUUAUUGAUGAGAUUUGGCAUCCAUGAGUUGAUUUAGUUCAAAAUUUUGAAUGAAGUUUCUGGAUUUGAAUAUGCAUCUAGGAUUUUUUUUCAUGUUACUAGAUGAACUGAAAGUGAUGGAAAGAACCGAAAGACGAAAAUAGAAGAGGGAAAAUGACGCGGAAGAGGAAAGAGGAGAGAGAAAAGAAAGAAAAAAAGUGGGAAAGAUGAGUUAGCAUUUAGGUUUCUUUUUUUAAGCUACGUAGGAAAUGACUUGUAUUGUUUUGUUUUUUUCAAAAGCCACGUAGAAAAA
Molecule: long non-coding RNA, 1110 nt
Filed under: Panax ginseng (ginseng)
Lineage: Eukaryota; Viridiplantae; Streptophyta; Magnoliopsida; Apiales; Araliaceae
Description: long non-coding RNA (PGIN_LNC008748)
Source: RNAcentral